GUCUUUGUAGUAUAAAAAUACCCCGGCCUUGUAAACCGGAAAUGGAGAUAAACCCCAUCUCCCUAAGACU
This 70-nucleotide transfer RNA is filed under the name Mesoplodon bidens (Sowerby's beaked whale). RNAcentral's name for it is "tRNA-Thr". The record is from RNAcentral. Lineage: Eukaryota; Metazoa; Chordata; Mammalia; Artiodactyla; Ziphiidae.